GAAAAUUAAUUUCUCUUAUUUAUUCCUCCCAGUCUGUGGUAUUUUGUUUUAUUAUUAUCCUAAUAAUGCAGGAUUGUAAAAGCCAACUGUGUGAGGACUUUCAUUUGAGAAUGUUCAAGAGAUUUCAAGGAAUAAACAUUAAAAGGAUUUUUCCAUAAACUUGGAAUGGAACCACCAUUUGACCCAGCUAUCCCACUCCCCGGUCUAUACUCAAAGGACUUAAAAUCAGCACACUAUAGGGACACAGCCACAUCAAUGUUUAUAGCAGCUCUUUUCACAAUAGCUAAACUGUGGAAGCAACCUAGAUGCCCUUCAAUAGAUGAAUGGAGGGCUGAGCGGUGGCUCAGUGGCAGAGCGCUUGCCUAGCAUGUGUGAGGCCCUGGGUUCGAUUCUCAGAAUCACAUUUAAAAAAAAAAAUCCAUCGACAACUAAAAAAAAAUUUUUAAGAAAUAGAUGAAUGGAUAAAGAAACUGUAGUAUAUAUACACAAUGGAACAUUACUUCGAAUUAAAAGAGAAUAAAAAAGCCAAUCCCCUAAAAAACAAAGGCCAAAUGUUCUCUCCAAUAAGUGGAUGCUGAUACAUAAUGGAGGGGGGGAGUGCAUGGGAAAAAAUGGAGGAACUUUGAUUGGGCAAAGGGUGGAAGGGAGUAAGUAUGGGGGCAGGAAAGAUGGUGGAAUGAGAUGGACAUUAUUACCCUGGUACAUGUGUGACUCAUAUAUGGUGCGACGCUACAUCAUGUACAAUC
Molecule: long non-coding RNA, 746 nt
Filed under: Marmota monax (woodchuck)
Lineage: Eukaryota; Metazoa; Chordata; Mammalia; Rodentia; Sciuridae
Source: RNAcentral